AGCAGUGUAGCAUAGUGGUAAGGAGCACGGCUUGUAACUGAAAGGUUGCCAGUUCGAUUCUCCACUGGGUCACUGUUG
This is a non-coding RNA of Megalops atlanticus (tarpon), 78 nucleotides long. Lineage: Eukaryota; Metazoa; Chordata; Actinopteri; Elopiformes; Megalopidae. The record is from the annotation of a GenBank genome assembly.